GAUGAACGCUGGCGGCGUGCCUAAUACAUGCAAGUAGAACGCUGAAGGAAGGAGCUUGCUCUUUCCGGAUGAGUUGCGAACGGGUGAGUAACGCGUAGGUAACCUGCCUGGUAGCGGGGGAUAACUAUUGGAAACGAUAGCUAAUACCGCAUAACAGUAGAUAUUGCAUGAUAUCUGCUUGAAAGGGGCAAUUGCUCCACUACCAGAUGGACCUGCGUUGUAUUAGCUAGUUGGUGAGGUAACGGCUCACCAAGGCGACGAUACAUAGCCGACCUGAGAGGGUGAUCGGCCACACUGGGACUGAGACACGGCCCAGACUCCUACGGGAGGCAGCAGUAGGGAAUCUUCGGCAAUGGACGGAAGUCUGACCGAGCAACGCCGCGUGAGUGAAGAAGGUUUUCGGAUCGUAAAGCUCUGUUGUAAGAGAAGAACGAGUGUGAGAGUGGAAAGUUCACACUGUGACGGUAUCUACCAGAA
Molecule: ribosomal RNA, 477 nt
Filed under: Streptococcus australis
Lineage: Bacteria; Bacillati; Bacillota; Bacilli; Lactobacillales; Streptococcaceae
Description: bacterial SSU rRNA
Rfam family: Bacterial small subunit ribosomal RNA
Source: RNAcentral